GUGAAUCAUCGAGUCUUUGAACGCACCUUGCGCUCUUUAGUUAUUCUGAAGAGCAUGCUUGUUUGAGUGUCGCGAACUUCUCAACCCCGCCAAAGGCUUUAUUGACUUUGGUUGUUCUGGGCUUGGAUCAUGGUCUUUUGCUGUGUUACAACAGCUGGACUGAAAUACAACAAGUUGAAUGAAUCAAUUGCAGCUUGACCUGAUGUUGUAACCAUACUCAUUGGGGAUGCAAAUGAAUCAACGAACUUUAAUAGAAACCCAAUUUCGUACUUAGCUGUACAAAUUUAUGACCUCAAAUCAAGUAGGACUACCCGCUGAACUUAA
Molecule: ribosomal RNA, 324 nt
Filed under: uncultured fungus
Lineage: Eukaryota; Fungi
Description: eukaryotic LSU rRNA
Rfam family: 5.8S ribosomal RNA (bases 1-72)
Source: RNAcentral